RNAcentral lists this ribosomal RNA (868 nucleotides) under Mycena polygramma. Its description in RNAcentral is "eukaryotic LSU rRNA". It matches the Rfam family "Eukaryotic large subunit ribosomal RNA", at positions 75 to 932 of the family's 3401-position model. The record is from RNAcentral. Lineage: Eukaryota; Fungi; Basidiomycota; Agaricomycetes; Agaricales; Mycenaceae.
UUCCCCUAGUAACUGCGAGUGAAGCGGGAAAAGCUCAAAUUUAAAAUCUGGCGGUUCUUGUAGCCGUCCGAGUUGUAAUUUAGAGAAGCGUUAUCCGCGCUGGACCGUGUACAAGUCUCCUGGAAUGGAGCGUCAUAGAGGGUGAGAAUCCCGUCUUUGACACGGACUGCCAGGGCAUUGUGAUGCGCUCUCAAAGAGUCGAGUUGUUUGGGAAUGCAGCUCAAAAUGGGUGGUAAAUUCCAUCUAAAGCUAAAUAUUGAGGAGAGACCGAUAGCGAACAAGUACCGUGAGGGAAAGAUGAAAAGAACUUUGGAAAGAGAGUUAAACAGUACGUGAAAUUGCUGAAAGGGAAACGCUUGAAGUCAGUCGCGUCGUUCAGGACUCAGCCUUGCUUUGCUUGGUGUACUUCCUGUUCGACGGGUCAGCAUCAAUUUUGGUCGGUGGAUAAAGGCUUAGAGAAUGUGGCAUCUUCGGGUGUGUUAUAGCUCUGGGUCGCAUACAUCGGCUGGGAUUGAGGAACUCAGCACGCCGCAAGGCCGGGUACUUGUACCACGUACGUGCUUAGGAUGCUGGCAUAAUGGCUUUAAUCGACCCGUCUUGAAACACGGACCAAGGAGUCUAACAUGCCUGCGAGUGUUUGGGUGGAAAACCCGAGCGCGUAAUGAAAGUGAAAGUUGAGAUCCCUGUCGCGGGGAGCAUCGACGCCCGGAGCUGACCUUCUGUGACGCAUCCGCGGUAGAGCAUGUAUGUUGGGACCCGAAAGAUGGUGAACUAUGCCUGAAUAGGGUGAAGCAGAGGAAACUCUGGUGAGCUCGUAGCGAUUCUGACGUGCAAUCGAUCGUCGAAUUUGGGUAUAGGGGCGAAGACU